GACAGAGGCUGCAGAAGCCCGGGCAACACUUGUGGUGGCAGCAGGUGAUGUGCACUUGUUCCAAGUCCUCCAGAAGUCUGCGUAAUCCUCGGGAUUCCGGGCGGCUGCUGGGAUGGCCAUGUAAGGUGGAGUGGAAGGAAGAGAGGCUGCAGUGAGUCAAGAUUGCGCCACUGCACUCCAGCCCGGGUGACAGAGCAAGACUCCAUGACACACACAAACACACACACACACUCACACACACACUCUUUUCCCUAAACUUGACGGUGGCAGAAGGAACCAUUAUUUUAUUGCAGCAAAGGGCAAAGUUGAAAGGGAAAUUAGAUCUCUAAAUACUCCAAGCCCCUCAUUUUACAGAGGAGAAAACUUCCAGCUCAGAGAGGGGAAGUGACUUGCCCAAGGUCUCACCACAAGUUAGAGGCAGAGGCAGGACCAGAACUGAU
This 440-nucleotide long non-coding RNA is filed under the name Homo sapiens (human). Its description in RNAcentral is "HSALNT0334066". The record is from RNAcentral. Lineage: Eukaryota; Metazoa; Chordata; Mammalia; Primates; Hominidae.